Molecule: ribosomal RNA, 292 nt
Filed under: uncultured bacterium
Lineage: Bacteria
Description: partial 16S ribosomal RNA
Rfam family: Bacterial small subunit ribosomal RNA
Source: RNAcentral
GUGUCAGCCGCCGCGGUAAUACGGAGGGGGCUAGCGUUGUUCGGAAUCACUGGGCGUAAAGCGCACGUAGGCGGCGUGUUUAGUCAGGGGUGAAAGGCCUGGGCUCAACCCGGGAACUGCCUUUGAUACUGGCACGCUUGAGUCCGAGAGGGGGUGGUGGAACUCCCAGUGUAGAGGUGAAAUUCGUAGAUAUUGGGAAGAACACCGGUGGCGAAGGCGACCACCUGGCUCGGGACUGACGCUGAGGUGCGAAAGCGUGGGGAGCAAACAGGAUUAGAUACCCUAGUAGUCC